This 805-nucleotide ribosomal RNA is filed under the name uncultured bacterium. RNAcentral describes it as "bacterial SSU rRNA". It matches the Rfam family "Bacterial small subunit ribosomal RNA", at positions 8 to 811 of the family's 1533-position model. The record is from RNAcentral.
AGAGUUUGAUCCUGGCUCAGGAUGAACGCUGGCGGCGUGCUUAACACAUGCAAGUCGAACGAAGCACUUUAUUUGAUUUCCUUCGGGACUGAUUAUUUUGUGACUGAGUGGCGGACGGGUGAGUAACGCGUGGGUAACCUGCCUCGUACAGGGGGAUAACAGUUGGAAACGGCUGCUAAUACCGCAUAAGCGCACAGCAUCGCAUGAUGCAGUGUGAAAAACUCCGGUGGUAUAAGAUGGACCCGCGUUGGAUUAGCUAGUUGGUGAGGUAACGGCCCACCAAGGCGACGAUCCAUAGCCGACCUGAGAGGGUGACCGGCCACAUUGGGACUGAGACACGGCCCAAACUCCUACGGGAGGCAGCAGUGGGGAAUAUUGCACAAUGGGCGAAAGCCUGAUGCAGCGACGCCGCGUGAGCGAAGAAGUAUUUCGGUAUGUAAAGCUCUAUCAGCAGGGAAGAUAAUGACGGUACCUGACUAAGAAGCACCGGCUAAAUACGUGCCAGCAGCCGCGGUAAUACGUAUGGUGCAAGCGUUAUCCGGAUUUACUGGGUGUAAAGGGAGCGCAGGCGGUGCGGCAAGUCUGAUGUGAAAGCCCGGGGCUCAACCCCGGUACUGCAUUGGAAACUGUCGUACUAGAGUGUCGGAGGGGUAAGCGGAAUUCCUAGUGUAGCGGUGAAAUGCGUAGAUAUUAGGAGGAACACCAGUGGCGAAGGCGGCUUACUGGACGAUAACUGACGCUGAGGCUCGAAAGCGUGGGGAGCAAGCAGGAUUAGAUACCCUGGUAGUCCACGCCGUAAACGAUG